UACAGAGGUCUCAAGCGUUGUUCGGAAUCACUGGGCGUAAAGGGUGCGUAGGCGGCGGGGCAAGUCAGAUGUGAAAUCCGGAGGCUCAACCUCCGAAAUGCAUCCGAUACUCCCUCGCUAGAGAUUUGUAGAGGAGUCUGGAAUUCUCGGUGUAGCAGUGAAAUGCGUAGAUAUCGAGAAGAACGCUCGCAGCGAAGGCGAGACUCUGGGCAAAUUCUGACGCUGAUGCACGAAGGCUAGGGGAGCAAACGGG
Molecule: ribosomal RNA, 253 nt
Filed under: uncultured bacterium
Lineage: Bacteria
Description: partial 16S ribosomal RNA
Rfam family: Bacterial small subunit ribosomal RNA
Source: RNAcentral